Molecule: long non-coding RNA, 923 nt
Filed under: Homo sapiens (human)
Lineage: Eukaryota; Metazoa; Chordata; Mammalia; Primates; Hominidae
Description: HSALNT0347031
Source: RNAcentral
CUUGAAAUUGCUAUCCCGUGUAUCACUUUUAAUUUAAAAAAUCUUGAAAAUAUUUAGUCAAUUCAAAGCUCCAUCUCCCUUCAGAGCUGCCUCUGGUCUCUCAGGGUUCUUCUCUUCAGGAUCUCCUUGUCUCCCACAAGGCAUCUGAGCCUAGGAGCACUUUGUGGUUGUAGCAAAAGGGGUCUCUGUUCUGAAUCCUGCCUCUUCUGGGCAUCCUUUGUUGUCCCUUGAGGUGUGGCUGGUGCCUUCUGCAUGGUUUGAGCCUUGUGCUGGGGCUCAGUGCUGACUGUGCCCACACAAUGCCCUUUGUGAGGUUUCUGCUCUCUGUGGCCUUCUUGUCCCAACCUCAGGCCUCCACAUGUGACUUCUGCACCUCAUCUCUGGGAUGGUUUCAGUGGGUCCUAGAUUGCUUUCUGUGCUCCCUGGGACAGUUGGUGGCACUCUGUGAGACUACUCUGAGGUACCCUUACAAGCUACUCUUAAUUUUCCCCGCUGUUCUGCUUGUUGGACAUGGCAUCAUGCUGCAAUGUUAACAGUCUUUCAAAGCUAAGCGCGGAGGAUGUGAUUCCAUCCCUGGCAGUUCUUAGAUUCCCUACCAGUCCUUUCCAUCAUGGGCUCCUGUGGAAAAUGACCCCAGCUCAGCUCAGUAGUUGAUGGGACAUCUGAUUCAGGUUGGACCCAGCCCAGACAUCUGAUUCAAACAAUAUUCUUCUCCAGGAAUUUUGUAACCAGCACUGGUAAAGGGAGGGAAGUGCUCCCCAGUGGGGAGAGCUGCAGAAUGUGAGACUUGGAAACCAAAGGCCGCCAUGUUUUCUGUCUCAUGAUGGAAUCCAAUCUUCUUUGGCGGGGAAAAUAAAUGAAGCCAACACCAGUAGCAUAGUGUUGAGGAGAAUCCCAGAGAUCUGAAUCCCAGGAGAAGUCAG